GGCCGUUGGCGGGAUGCUUUAACAUGCAAGUCGAACGGUAACAGGGUGCUUGCACCGCUGACGAGUGGCGAACGGGUGAGUAAUGCAUCGGAAUGUACCGUGUAAUGGGGGAUAGCUCGGCGAAAGCCGGAUUAAUACCGCAUACGCCCUGAGGGGGAAAGUGGGGGACCGAAAGGCCUCACGUUAUACGAGCAGCCGAUGUCUGAUUAGCUAGUUGGUGGGGUAAAGGCUCACCAAGGCGACGAUCAGUAGCGGGUCUGAGAGGAUGAUCCGCCACACUGGGACUGAGACACGGCCCAGACUCCUACGGGAGGCAGCAGUGGGGAAUUUUGGACAAUGGGCGCAAGCCUGAUCCAGCCAUGCCGCGUGUCUGAAGAAGGCCUUCGGGUUGUAAAGGACUUUUGUCCGGGAGCAAAUCCCAGUGGUUAACACCUACUGGGGCUGAGAGUACCGGAAGAAUAAGCACCGGCUAACUACGUGCCAGCAGCCGCGGUAAUACGUAGGGUGCAAGCGUUAAUCGGAAUUACUGGGCGUAAAGCGUGCGCAGGCGGUUGUGCAAGUCUGAUGUGAAAGCCCCGGGCUUAACCUGGGAACGGCAUUGGAGACUGCACGACUAGAGUGCGUCAGAGGGGGGUAGAAUUCCGCGUGUAGCAGUGAAAUGCGUAGAGAUGCGGAGGAAUACCGAUGGCGAAGGCAGCCCCCUGGGAUGACACUGACGCUCAUGCACGAAAGCGUGGGGGAGCAAACAGGGAUUAGAUACCCUGGGUAGUCCACGCCCUAAACGAUGUCAACUAGCUGUUGGGGGGUUUGAAUCCUUGGUAGCGAAGCUAACGCGAGAAAGUUGACCGCCUGGGGAGUACGGCCGCAAGGUUAAAAC
Molecule: ribosomal RNA, 877 nt
Filed under: Chromobacterium haemolyticum
Lineage: Bacteria; Pseudomonadati; Pseudomonadota; Betaproteobacteria; Neisseriales; Chromobacteriaceae
Description: bacterial SSU rRNA
Rfam family: Bacterial small subunit ribosomal RNA
Source: RNAcentral